Molecule: ribosomal RNA, 246 nt
Filed under: uncultured bacterium
Lineage: Bacteria
Description: partial 16S ribosomal RNA
Rfam family: Bacterial small subunit ribosomal RNA
Source: RNAcentral
UACGUAGGGUGCGAGCGUUUAAUCGGAAUUACUGGGCGUAAAGUGUGCGCAGGCGGCCGAGCAAGUCGAGUGUGAAGGCCCCGAGCUUAACUUGGGAACUGCGCUCGAAACUACUUGGCUAGAGUGUGGCAGAGGGAGGUGGAAUUCCACGUGUAGCGGUGAAAUGCGUAGAGAUGUGGAGGAACACCGAUGGCGAAGGCAGCCUCCUGGGCAACACUGACGCUCAUGCACGAAGCGUGGGGAGCA